GGGUUGUGAGGUUAAGCGACUAAGCGUACACGGUGGAUGCCCUGGCAGUCAGAGGCGAUGAAGGGCGUGCUAAUCUGCGAUAAGCGCCGGUAAGGUGAUAUGAACCGUUAUAACCGGCGAUACCCGAAUGGGGAAACCCAGUGUGAUUCGUCACACUAUCAUUAACUGAAUCCAUAGGUUAAUGAGGCGAACCGGGGGAACUGAAACAUCUAAGUACCCCGAGGAAAAGAAAUCAACCGAGAUUCCCCCAGUAGCGGCGAGCGAACGGGGAGGAGCCCAGAGCCUGAAUCAGCAUGUGUGUUAGUGGAAGCGUCUGGAAAGGCGCGCGAUACAGGGUGACAGCCCCGUACACAAAAGCGCAUGUGCUGUGAGCUCGAUGAGUAGGGCGGGACACGUGGUAUCCUGUCUGAAUAUGGGGGGACCAUCCUCCAAGGCUAAAUACUCCUGACUGACCGAUAGUGAACCAGUACCGUGAGGGAAAGGCGAAAAGAACCCCGGCGAGGGGAGUGAAAAAGAACCUGAAACCGUGUACGUACAAGCAGUGGGAGCACCCUUUGGGUGUGACUGCGUACCUUUUGUAUAAUGGGUCAGCGACUUAUAUUCUGUAGCAAGGUUAACCGAAUAGGGGAGCCGGAGGGAAACCGAGUCUUAACCGGGCGUUAAGUUGCAGGGUAUAGACCCGAAACCCGGUGAUCUAGCCAUGGGCAGGUUGAAGGUUGGGUAACACUAACUGGAGGACCGAACCGACUAAUGUUGAAAAAUUAGCGGAUGACCUGUGGCUGGGGGUGAAAGGCCAAUCAAACCGGGAGAUAGCUGGUUCUCCCCGAAAGCUAUUUAGGUAGCGCCUCGUGAAUUCAUCUCCGGGGGUAGAGCACUGUUUCGGCUAGGGGGCCAUCCCGGCUUACCAACCCGAUGCAAACUGCGAAUACCGGAGAAUGUUAUCACGGGAGACACACGGCGGGUGCUAACGUCCGUCGUGAAGAGGGAAACAACCCAGACCGCCAGCUAAGGUCCCAAAGUCAUGGUUAAGUGGGAAACGAUGUGGGAAGGCCCAGACAGCCAGGAUGUUGGCUUAGAAGCAGCCAUCAUUUAAAGAAAGCGUAAUAGCUCACUGGUCGAGUCGGCCUGCGCGGAAGAUGUAACGGGGCUAAACCAUGCACCGAAGCUGCGGCAGCGACACUGUGUGUUGUUGGGUAGGGGAGCGUUCUGUAAGCCUGUGAAGGUGUGUCGUGAGGCAUGCUGGAGGUAUCAGAAGUGCGAAUGCUGACAUAAGUAACGAUAAAGCGGGUGAAAAGCCCGCUCGCCGGAAGACCAAGGGUUCCUGUCCAACGUUAAUCGGGGCAGGGUGAGUCGACCCCUAAGGCGAGGCCGAAAGGCGUAGUCGAUGGGAAACGGGUUAAUAUUCCCGUACUUGGUGUUACUGCGAAGGGGGGACGGAGAAGGCUAUGUUGGCCGGGCGACGGUUGUCCCGGUU
This 1474-nucleotide ribosomal RNA is filed under the name Salmonella enterica. RNAcentral describes it as "partial 23S ribosomal RNA". It matches the Rfam family "Bacterial large subunit ribosomal RNA", at positions 1 to 1512 of the family's 2925-position model. The record is from RNAcentral. Lineage: Bacteria; Pseudomonadati; Pseudomonadota; Gammaproteobacteria; Enterobacterales; Enterobacteriaceae. RNAcentral also lists the same sequence under 1 other name.